RNAcentral lists this long non-coding RNA (1308 nucleotides) under Homo sapiens (human). Its description in RNAcentral is "HSALNT0162182". Lineage: Eukaryota; Metazoa; Chordata; Mammalia; Primates; Hominidae. The record is from RNAcentral.
CCCGGCAUUUCGUAUUUCAUUUCAUCAUUUCAUUUCUCACUUCAUUUCAUUUCAUUUGUUUCAUUUCAUUUCGAGACAGAGACUCGCUCUAUCGCCCAGUCUGGAGUGCGCCACCACACCCAGCAUUUCAUUAUUCAUUUCAUUUCACCCGGCAUUUCGUAUUUCAUUUCAUCAUUUCAUUUCUCACUUCAUUUCAUUUCAUUUGUUUCAUUUCAUUUCGAGACAGAGACUCGCUCUAUCGCCCAGUCUGGAGUGCACCACCACACCCGGCAUUUCAUUAUUAUUUCAUUUUUUCAUUUCAUCUAUUUCAUUUCAUUUUUCAAUUUCAUGACGUAGACUCGCUCUAACACCCAGGCUGGAGUGCACCCAGCAUUUCAUUAUUCAUUUCAUAUUUCAUUUCCCAUUUCAUUUCAUGACAGAGACUCACUCUAUCACCCAGGCUGGAGUGCAUCACCACACCCAGCAUUUCAUUAUUCAUUUCAUUUCAUUAUUUCUUCAUUUCAUUUCAUUUCACCUGGCAUUUCAUUAUUCAUUAUUUCAUUUCUUCAUUUCAUUUCAUCCCAUUUGAGAUAGAGACUCGCUCUAUCACCCAGGCUGGAGUGUGCCACUGCACCUGGCAUUUCAUUAUUCAUUGCAUUAUUUCAUCAUUUCAUUUAUUUCAUUUUUUCAUUUCAUUUCAUUUCACCCGGCAUUUCAUUAUUCAUUUCAUUAUUUCAUUUCAUCAUUUCAUUUCAUUUCAUUUUGAGACGGAGACUCCCUCUAUUGCCCAGGCUGGAGUGCGCCACUGCACCCAGAAUUUCAUUAUUCAUUUCAUUAUUUCAUUUCAUCAUUUCAUUUGAUCAUUUCAUUUCAUUUCAAGACAGAGACUCGCUCUAUCACCCAGGCUGGACUGCGCCACCACACCUGGCAUUUCAUUAUUCAUUUCACCCAGCAUUUCAUAUUUCAUCUCAUCAUUUCUCAUUUCAUUUAUUUCAUUUCAUUUCAAGACGGAGACGCGCUCUAUCACCCAGGCUGGAGUGCGCCACCACACCUGGCAUUUCAUAUUUCUUCAUUUCAUUUAUUCCAUUCCCAUAUUCCCAUUCCCAUUCAAUUUCAAUCCAUUUCAUGACAGAGACUUGCUGCAUUGCCCAGGCUGGAGUGCACCACACGCAUUUCAUUAUUCAUUUCAUUAUUUCAUUUCACCAUGUCAUGUCAUGUCAUGUCAUGUCAUUUCGAGCCAGAGGCUUGUUCUAACACCCAGGCUGGAGUGCAGUGGCGCAAUCCCUGCUCACUGCAACCUCUGCCUCCUGGGUUCAAGCGAUUCUCCUC